This is a non-coding RNA of Heterocephalus glaber (naked mole-rat), 1429 nucleotides long. Lineage: Eukaryota; Metazoa; Chordata; Mammalia; Rodentia; Bathyergidae. The record is from RefSeq and is a predicted model, not a curated record.
AGGACUAUCAAUUGUGGAGGCUGUGCUCUGAACGUUUGGUCCUCUUGCUUCAGCUUCUCAGAGUGCCAGGUCUACAGGUAUGUGUCACCAUGCCUGGCUCUGAUCCAGCCCCUUGCAGGAGGAUUCCUGUUGGCCCAGGAGCCUCCAUGGGUGUUUCUUACCUUUCUUCAAUGCCGAUGAAAGCGACGAGGAAUUAGUGGCAGAGUUGGAGGAACCCAGCACCUUCCUGGGAGCUCGAGAGGCCACCACUGCAAAGACAAAGUUAGGGAUCCAAGCGGCCUGAGCUGGGCGUGCAGGUCCCGGAGCGGAGCGAGGCAUCCCUCCCUUCACCCAGCACCCCAUGCGGUCCCUGAUCGCUUCACCUUUCCUAUAAGUGCCCGGGACACUGUCUGCUUUAGUCCGCACCAUGUUAAAGCGCGAGGAGACGACGGAAAUGCACUGACUUCCCUGCCAAAGGUGUCUCGCUGGACAAGGACCAGAAAAGGACUCUCCCGCCACCAUUAAUAAGGGGCGCUUUCCCGCGCUCACCGCCUCUCGCGAGCCCUGACCCCCAUUGGUUCCGCGCCUUUCCCUGCAAACCAAUCACAGGGUUCCGUGGUGACAGCGGCCAGGCUCACGGCCGAGCUGUCCAGUCCAUCAACGCGAAGAGCCUUGCGAUUGGCCCCCGCCCCAGGGGGUGGGUCAGGGCCCAUUCUCAACCCAGGAAAUGAGCCCGCUAGCGGAAAAAAAACCUCAGUAGCCUGAGAAUUACGACGCUUCAAAAGCUAUCAUAGUAUGAAAUCCAUGAUUGGGUCCAGGAAGGGAAGCCAAAAAUUAGGCGAACUUUUUGAUCCACAUAAAAAUAAACAGAAUUGAGUGUUUUAAUACUCCUGGCACAAACCCUACCCAUCUCCAUCAUUUAUUCCAAAAUAAUUCUAUGGAGUGGGGAAAAGAAUACUAAUACAAUUUACCUACAGCCUUGGAUGUCUUUAGAGUCGUGUGUGACUAAAGAAAAACUGAGUCAGUUAUAUCAAUAUACACAAUAAUAAAACAUUUUUCUUAGAAAAACAUGUCAAAUGUACUGCAAACUCAACCCUAGCCCAGGCGAACAUAACUAGAAGAGGGAGUCGUAAUUAUUUUCCAUCCCUGUACUGCUAAUUGUGAUUUCCCUAGUAGUGAGUUUCACUCUCAAUUCCCGUAUAAAACUGGGUAGGAUUAACUUGCUAUACGAUAUAUUCUGUAAGUGGCUCAUUUUGAAAGUCAAAACUAGGAGUGAAGGGCCGGGGAUUUAGCUCAGUGGUUUCGCAGCCUGCUGCGAAAGCUCAAGGACCGGAGUUCGAUCCCCGGUACUAAAAAACAAACAAACAAAAAAAACCCCUAGGAGUGAAAGUAUACCACUGGUUCUCUCCGAAGUAUUCCGCUUGUGUUAAAAAAAAAAAAAAAAAAAAAA